AUUGAACGCUGGCGGCAUGCUUUACACAUGCCAGUCGAACGGCAGCGCGGGGCAACCUGGCGGCGAGUGGCGAACGGGUGAGUAAUACAUCGGAACGUACCCAGAAGUGGGGGAUAACGUAGCGAAAGUUACGCUAAUACCGCAUACGUUCUACGGAAGAAAGUGGGGGACCUUCGGGCCUCAUGCUUUUGGAGCGGCCGAUGUCUGAUUAGCUAGUUGGUGAGGUAAAGGCUCACCAAGGCGACGAUCAGUAGCUGGUCUGAGAGGACGACCAGCCACACUGGGACUGAGACACGGCCCAGACUCCUACGGGGGGCAGCAGUGGGGAAUUUUGGACAAUGGGCGCAAGCCUGAUCUAGCAAUGCCGCGUGAGUGAAGAAGGCCUUCGGGUUGUAAAGCUCUUUUGUCAGGGAAGAAACGGCUGAGGAUAAUACCUUCGGCUAAUGACGGUACCUGAAGAAUAAGCACCGGCUAACUACGUG
RNAcentral lists this ribosomal RNA (482 nucleotides) under uncultured bacterium. RNAcentral's name for it is "partial 16S ribosomal RNA". It matches the Rfam family "Bacterial small subunit ribosomal RNA", at positions 30 to 507 of the family's 1533-position model. The record is from RNAcentral.